GGGGGUAUAGCUCAGUGAUAGGGCAUGUGCUUAGCAUGCACAAGGUCACAGAUUCAAUCCCCAGUAUCUCUA
RNAcentral lists this transfer RNA (72 nucleotides) under Camelus bactrianus (Bactrian camel). It matches the Rfam family "tRNA". From Rfam's summary of the family: Transfer RNA (tRNA) molecules are approximately 80 nucleotides in length. The record is from Rfam by way of RNAcentral. RNAcentral also lists the same sequence under 1 other name. Lineage: Eukaryota; Metazoa; Chordata; Mammalia; Artiodactyla; Camelidae.